Molecule: long non-coding RNA, 206 nt
Filed under: Elaeis guineensis (African oil palm)
Lineage: Eukaryota; Viridiplantae; Streptophyta; Magnoliopsida; Arecales; Arecaceae
Description: long non-coding RNA (EGUI_LNC044757)
Source: RNAcentral
UCAUAAAUCAAAUUCAUAUAGAUUAUUAGAAGAUAAUUAAGUUAGAAUUAUCUUAUCAAAUAAGUAAUCCCAUCAGAAAGAGAAAUUAGAUCCAACCAUGUGCUAGCAAGGUUAUCAUGAACUCAAUGAAUUUUUUUAAACCCAAUUGAUAUUUCAUAAGCUCAAUUACUUACUCCAGACCUAAUCCUUUUGUUGUGUGACCCCAU